CAGCAGCCACGGUAAUACGGAGGGUGCAAGCGUUAAUCGGAAUUACUGGGCGUAAAGCGCACGCAGGCGGUCUGUCAAGUCAGAUGUGAAAUCCCCGGGCUUAACCUGGGAACUGCAUUUGAAACUGGCAGGCUAGAGUCUUGUAGAGGGGGGUAGAAUUCCAGGUGUAGCGGUGAAAUGCGUAGAGAUCUGGAGGAAUACCGGUGGCGAAGGCGGCCCCCUGGACAAAGACUGACGCUCAGGUGCGAAAGCGUGGGGAGCAAACAGGAUUAGAUACCCGUGAGUCCAUGUCUCUUAUACA
RNAcentral lists this ribosomal RNA (301 nucleotides) under uncultured bacterium. RNAcentral describes it as "partial 16S ribosomal RNA". It matches the Rfam family "Bacterial small subunit ribosomal RNA", at positions 509 to 808 of the family's 1533-position model. The record is from RNAcentral.